Molecule: small RNA, 1241 nt
Filed under: Pongo abelii (Sumatran orangutan)
Lineage: Eukaryota; Metazoa; Chordata; Mammalia; Primates; Hominidae
Description: retained intron
Source: RNAcentral
AGUGAGGAAGGGUUCGUGUGGUUGGUGUACAGUUCCGGGGCCCCUGGAAUGCAGCAGCCUGCAAGAAACCAGGUUUUCUUCCCAAUAGGGAUGGCCCCGGGGGGUGUCUGUUGGAGACCAGAUGGAUGGGGAACAGGUGGUCAGGGCGGAAUUUCAGGCCCUGGCAGCAUGGGAGCAGGGCAGAGACUGGGGAGUUCAGGUACCCAGAGAUGCUGCUGGGGGAGCCGUUUUGGGAAGGAGGUGGCUCUCAGGAGGGUGCUGCACCCCAGACCAGUCUGCAUGGGCGUCUCUUGCCUGUGCCAGAAGAACGAGGACGAGUGUGCCGUGUGCCGGGACGGCGGGGAGCUCAUCUGCUGUGACGGCUGCCCUCGGGCCUUCCAUCUGGCCUGCCUGUCCCCUCCGCUCCGGGAGAUCCCCAGUGGGACCUGGAGGUGCUCCAGCUGCCUGCAGGCAACAGUCCAGGAGGUGCAGCCCCGGGCAGAGGAGCCCCGGCCUCAGGAGCCACCCGUGGAGACCGCGCUCCCCCCGGGGCUUAGGUCCGUGGGAGAGGAGCCCCGCUGCCAGGGCUGGACUCCUCGGCCCUGCACCCCCUACUGUGUGUGGGCCCUGAGGGGCAGCAGAACCCGGCUCCUGGUGCGCGUUGCGGGGUGUGUGGAGACGGUACGGACGUGCUGCGGUGUACUCACUGCGCUGCCGCCUUCCACUGGCGCUGCCACUUCCCAGCGGGCGCCUCCCAGCCCGGGACGGGCCUGCGCUGCAGAUCCUGCUCAGGAGACGUGACCCUGGCCCCUGUGGAGGGGGUGCUGGCCCCCAGCCCCGCCCACCUGGCCCCUGGGCCUGCCAAGGAUGACACUGCUAGUCACGAGCCCGCUCUGCACAGGGAGGACCUGGAGAGCCUUCUGAGCGAGCACACCUUCGACGGCAUCCUGCAGUGGGCCAUCCAGAGCAUGGCCCGCCCAGCUGCUCCCUUCCCCUCCUGACCCCGGACGGCCGGGACAUGCAGCUCUGAUGGGAGGGUGCCGAGAAGGACAUCUCCUUCCUCAGCCCUGGAAGCCGGCCGGCUGGGAUCAAGAAGGGGACAGCGCCACCUCUUGUCAGUCCUUGGCUGUAAACAGCCCUGUGUUUCUGGGGACACCAGCCAUCAUGUGCCUGGAAAUUAAAACCUGCCCCACCUCUCACUCUGGAAGUCCCCAGGGGCCUCUCCUUGCCUGGUGACCUACUAAAAAUAUAAAAAUUAGCUG